Molecule: ribosomal RNA, 165 nt
Filed under: Escherichia coli
Lineage: Bacteria; Pseudomonadati; Pseudomonadota; Gammaproteobacteria; Enterobacterales; Enterobacteriaceae
Description: partial 16S ribosomal RNA
Rfam family: Bacterial small subunit ribosomal RNA
Source: RNAcentral
CUUGUACACACCGCCCGUCACACCAUGGGAGUGGGUUGCAAAAGAAGUAGGUAGCUUAACCUUCGGGAGGGCGCUUACCACUUUGUGAUUCAUGACUGGGGUGAAGUCGUAACAAGGUAACCGUAGGGGAACCUGCGGUUGGAUCACCUCCUUACCUUAAAGAAG